RNAcentral lists this ribosomal RNA (464 nucleotides) under uncultured bacterium. RNAcentral's name for it is "partial 16S ribosomal RNA". It matches the Rfam family "Bacterial small subunit ribosomal RNA", at positions 28 to 507 of the family's 1533-position model. The record is from RNAcentral.
AUUGAACGCUGGCGGCAGGCCUAACACAUGCAAGUCGAGCGGAUGAAGGGAGCUUGCUCCUGGAUUCAGCGGCGGACGGGUGAGUAAUGCCUAGGAAUCUGCCUGCCAGUGGUGUAUAACGUCCGGAAACAGGCGCUAAUACCGCCUACGUCCUGAUGGAGAAAGUGGGGGGUCUUCGGACCUCACGCUGGGGGAUGAGCCUACGGCGGAUUAGCUAGUUGGUGGGUUAGUGGCUUACCAAGGCUACGAUGGGUAGCUGGCCUGAGAGGGUGAUCGGUCACAUUGGGACUGAGAUACGGCGCAGAGUCCGACGGGAGGCAGCAGUGGGGAAUAUUGCACAAUGGGCGGAAGCCGGAUGAAGCAACGCCGCGUGCGGGAUGACGGCCUUCGGGUUGUAAACCGCUUUCGCCUGUGACGAAGCGUGAGUGACGGUAAUGGGUAAAGAAGCACCGGCUAACUACGGG